Molecule: long non-coding RNA, 440 nt
Organism: Cyprinus carpio carpio
Lineage: Eukaryota; Metazoa; Chordata; Actinopteri; Cypriniformes; Cyprinidae
Source: Ensembl
UACAGGUGCAGGGAAUAAUACGGCAAACAUAGAAAAAUGAAUAACUGAAACUUAUAAAACAUUAAUAUCUAUUUAUUUUAUUUUAUUUUAUUUAUUUAUUUUUCUCCACAGAUUCAAUGUUUGACCUCUAGCUGGUUGUUGCAUUUUUUUUUUUUAUUUUUUUUUUUCAAAUCAGAGUAUUGAUAUUUAUUUAUUUAUAUUACUGUUCACUUGCUGCAUUAUCUGUACCCAAAAUCAGUAGUCAUUAGCUGGUUGGUCCCGUGAAAAUAUCCAUAUGGAGAAAUAUACAAAAUGGGGUGUUUUUGGACUGAAUCCUCAUGCUGGUAUCUUGAGAUGUUGAGAUUCUUACCUCACCGUCCUCCCACUGCAAACAACAAACACUAUCCAGAGCUCAAAUGCAGUUUUAUACAGUUUCAACUAUGUCUGUGUAUGUGGAAACC